RNAcentral lists this ribosomal RNA (468 nucleotides) under uncultured bacterium. RNAcentral describes it as "bacterial SSU rRNA". It matches the Rfam family "Bacterial small subunit ribosomal RNA", at positions 20 to 472 of the family's 1533-position model. The record is from RNAcentral.
UGGCUCAGAACGAACGCUGGCGGCGUGCUUAACACAUGCAAGUCGAACGCGAAAGGGAUUUCGGUCCUGAGUAGAGUGGCGCACGGGUGAGUAACGCGUAAGUGAUCUACCCCUGUAUUUGGGAUAACUAUGGGAAACUGUAGCUAAUACCGGAUACGUUCAUGUAAUUGCGGUUAUGUGAAGAAAGAUGGCCUCUGACUUAAGCUAUUGUACAGGGAGGAGCUUGCGUACCAUUAGCUAGUUGGUAGGGUAAUGGCCUACCAAGGCAACGAUGGUUAGCGGGUCUGAGAGGAUGAUCCGCCACACUGGAACUGAAACACGGACCAGACUCCUACGGGAGGCAGCAGUGAGGAAUAUUGCGCAAUGGGGGCAACCCUGACGCAGCGACGCCGCGUGGAUGAUGAAGGCCUUCGGGUCGUAAAAUCCUGUCGGGUGGGAAGAAGUGUUAUGUGGCUAAUAUCCAUGUAA